This is a long non-coding RNA of Boleophthalmus pectinirostris (great blue-spotted mudskipper), 10466 nucleotides long. RefSeq lists it as uncharacterized. The record is from RefSeq and is a predicted model, not a curated record. The transcript has 5 exons. NCBI's taxonomy places the organism in Eukaryota, Metazoa, Chordata, Actinopteri, Gobiiformes, Gobiidae.
UCAGCUCUAGUUGUUGUUGUUGGUUGUAGAUAAUGAGGACUCUCAUAAGAUUGCUCUUCUUUCUGCUCUAUUUUAUAUAUUUGUUUAAUGUUAUGAUACUGAUAAUUUCUUUUUAUAUUUUAUGAAUGAAAUAAAUAAAUACUCUGAACAGAAUCCUACUUUGUAAACAGAUACCACAAAUUUAAUUGCAAUAUUUAUCAGAAAAAGUGCAAUUAGGUUUUUCUUUUUUUGUUGUUGUUGUUGGGGUUGUUUUGUGUAACCCACAGGUGGCGUUACAGGGACAGGUAUCGCUGAGUCACAGUGACACAGACCCACAGUGACAUGAGAGCACUCUGAUCACAGCAUCAGACUCAUGGAGAGACUAACGGCAGCUCCUUUGGUCACAUAAGGCGUGUUUCGUAAACACCUGGGUGUCAAGUUUCCAAAUAUUCACUUCAGUUUUACUCACGGUCUAGUUAUUUUAGAUUGUAAGGCAAGGCAAUGGAAGUUUAUUUAUAUGGCACAAUUCAUACACAAGUAAUUCAGAGGGCUAUGAAGAAUAAGAAAGACUUUAAAAUCACAAUACAAACAAAUCAAAACAUAAAUAAUCAUCAUAGAAUGAACAUUAAAAGACAAGAGUGCAGAAUUGUACAGUUCUCGGCCUUUUUCUGAGCCAUAGUAAUUAGGUGUUUGACUGUCUACAACUCAGAGCUUAUCAUAAAAAGAAAAAAGAAAAGAUACCCACAAUAAAUACUGACUUCCAGAAAUUAUUGUUCUAUUAUUAUUGAUGUAUAAUUUACUGAGCCAUAAGUCAAUAUAGUAAUUAUUUUUUAUUAUUAUGUCAGUUGUUCUGAAAUACAAUUGUUUUUCUUAGACUGUUCAAAAGGAUGGCAGGCGUAUUUUAUCGCCAUGUGACACCACCAGGUCCGUUAAGUUAAGAGAAAGAUCUUGCAUAUAUUUAGUUACUGAUGUUUUUAUUGCUCAAAAAUACAUUGAAAUACUUGCGUUCUUUCUUGUAUUGUUUGUAUGUGCUCGCUUCUCCUCAGAUCUGACCUGGAACUUGACCUGGUGGUGUAACUUUUUUGUCUCUGUGAAGAUGGAUAUGUUUAAUAUCACGCAAAACCAAAACCACGCAGACAAACAUGAAAGUUACAUAGUUCACCUUUAAUUGUGAAUUAUACCAAAAUCUCUUAAACAUCCAUGAAAUGUUAAUAACUCCACUAUAUCUUACUUACUCAAAUUAUUAACAAUGAUGAGCCCAAAGAGGAAUUAACUUCAUUUUAAAACAAUUUAGGACAAUUUAAUAUUGCAAAACAAAGUACAGUCAGCACUUUUCUGCAUUAUGAAAACCACACCAAGUAAAAAAAAAAAGUACUUUCUAACUCUUGCGUUGGUAGUGGUUUUUAUUUCUUCACCACUUCUCUUUGUGGGUCCUAUUAUGUUAUACCUACGCUUUACAGUACAAUUGUCCUGAAAAUCCUGUUCCAUUUCUGUGUUGUGAUAACAAGCACGUGUGUAGCUACCGCUAUGUGCUGUUUCACCCGGAUGCCCUUCCUAUGUGCCAUCAUCCUGUCACAGGCUCCGGAAGUUACAACCCCGCCUGGACAUUGCCCUAUCUCUUUUUCAGUUGGGUGCUGCUGGGUACUCGUGUAUUGCGUAAUGCCAACUGUCGAAGUGCGUCACUGGGAGCACCCUUCCUACACAUGAAACAGACAGAGUACACACACGUAACUGCUGCUGAUUUGAAUAAUAACUGAAUGUUAAGUGCCUUAGUAUUAAAAGCUUUAAUAUGCAACUUUUCUGUUUGGGUCUGUCAUCUUCAUUGUUCUACUUCAGAUGUUCCACAGUGUGACAUUGAACAGAUCUGACCAGUAACUUGGCCUGGUUUGGUCUCCAUGAUGAAGGAAACACUGAAACAUUUCUGACAAAGCAAUAACAUCUCCAUGGAGAAAAGCAUUUGACAGACCCUCCAUCAGAAAAGUUACACUUAAGUUACACAGUUAUCCUAAAAAAGGGUCUUAUAUCUGUGUUUUUUAUAUUGUAUAGUAAUAAAUUGUAUUGAGUUUAUUGUUCACAAUGCUCUCAUGUCAGAACACAAUUGGUUUAUGACUGUCUAAUUAGUCAACAGGUAGUGAAGUGUAUAACUGGACAUUUUAUAGUGAAUUUGUAUAGUAUUGCAGUAAAGCACCUUGUAUUUUGAGUAGACCCCAACUUAAAGGAACUGUUUAAAUGAAAUAUAUGUUUUACUUUUAAAAAUGGUAAUGUAAAUUUAUUCUUAAUUACAAAAAACACUGAACAUAAUGGCCAAGUCGUUUAUGUUUUAAUUUUAUGAACAGUUUCAAAUAUAUUUGUCUUCCACAGUGUGAUCGUGAGCCCAAAUGAACCCAGUUUAGAUCUAAUAAUAGUGCGUUUCAGUUUCCACUUAUAGGCGCCGUUUGGGGGACUUUUGUUUUAAAAGGAAAUAUUUGCUAUGAAUUGUUAAUUGAAACUUGGAUACAGACCAACUUAGGGCAAUCUAAACUCUAAUGCAUACUUCAGCUUAAAACACCAAGAUUAAAAGAUACGUAAUAGUUUUCUGGAAAAGAUCUUUCACUUUAUAAGGGGGAAGCAAUGGGACUUUAAACAAAUAUGGACACUUUUCUUUAAUGUUUUGGCGGGAUUGGACUUGACUGUUGAUUUGAAUACCUAGUCAUUUUUGUGUACCGGUACAUUUAUGUGUGUAGUAUUCGAGAUAUACAGGACAGGAGAGAGGGGUGGUGUGUGUGUUUUUGUCUAUUUUUGUUUUAUCAAAUAUCAACAUUGAAAAAAUAAAAUGAUAAAAGAUAUAUAAUCGUCAAGGCCCUAAAUUAACACUUGAGCUCAUGAAGUCUGUAACAUGUGCCACAGUUAAAGAAUUUCUAGUUUGUGUGAGUUUCUCAAAAGUACCCAAACUAGUCCUUAUUUGAUUCAUUUCUUUAUAGUGAUAAUGAGGGGGUCUUCCCAUGAGUCAGAAUAUCCAAACUGUAAAAUUACCGGGUUCUUUUUAACUGAUGUUAACGUUUUCAUUCUUCUCAUCUGUACAAAUGUUUCUCUUACUUUGUCUUAUGUUUUGCUUCCACAGGUUAAUUCCCAUCUCAGUCUCUGUAGCCUCACACUCAAGAAGCUUGGAGGAUUUCACCAGUAGGAGGUGCCAUGCCUUUAUCAAGCACUGAUGCCGAGAGGGUGAAGAGGUCAGAGGCAGACACGGUGGGGUCUCUGCUGGGGACCCCCGCAGGUCCAACAUCCAGGUGUGUGUGUAGGUGAGUGUGUUAGUUCGAUAGUGGGCAAGAAAGAUUAGAUGACUUCAGGUGAUUUGACAAAAGUAAAUAGUUAAAACAAAAUAAAAAAUCUCAUAUUGAUUGAGCACAGUUUUCAAUUCAAUUUUAUUAUGUUAGGCUUUCAGUAUUCAUUUUCUGAACAUAAACAAGACAGACUUUUAAUCAUUCACACAAAAAAUGUCCCAGUUUCUUUCACCAAAUUGUGAACUCUGCUCCAAACCACAUGAGUUUACUGACAGAGGAUUGGCUGUAGACCUCUCCAAGUUAUUUAAUACUAUUAUUUUGCAAAUUCAGAUUUCUUAUGUCACUCUAAGUCUGUGGAGACCAGUGUCUUAUAUGGUACAAUUACUAUGGUACAAUUUUGGCUUUUAACUUCGACAAACUUUAUUGACCCACAAGGGAAAUUAUUUGAACAUACAAAAUAUUGAACAUAAAACAGUUUUUUUGUUUUUUUAUAUUAUACAAAGAAUUUACAACAUGCUUUUCCCCAUUGUGAAACAAAAAUACUGAACCACAGAGCAAAAUAUUUAAACAUGGCCCCUAAUAUUAAUGUAGAUUUGUAGUAUAAUAGCCAACAUCUUAUUAGAAGAUACAGAACUUCUGGUACUUAAAAUAAUAAUGUGCUAAGAAAUCAUCUACAAAUAGUGAAUGGAUUUCGUUAUUACAUGUAAGUGUAAAUUGAAAAAAAAAAAGACAAAGAGACAAAAGUUCUAAUUAAGGAAGUUUUAGGUGUAGCAUUAUCCAUGUAAUUUGCUGUGUAAUCUAGGCCUGUCACGAUAACAAAUUUUGGAGUGUGAUAUAUUGCUGAAUUAAAUAUAGACGAUAAAUGAUAAUCCUUGAAACUAAUUUAUACUGACACAAUAACCCUAAAGCAGAUUUAAGCUACUAAAACUAUUUAAAAUCUACAAUAGUGUUAAAAAAAUAUGAUCUUCAAUAAAUACGCAUCAGAAUGAAAGGGUCAUAAGUUAUUAAUUCAACCUUUUACAGCUUAAAUCUUAUUGUAUAGCCAAAAAAUAACCACAAAUUUCUCAGUUGUGUAAAGAAAGUACACAUGAUAAAUUUUGUCCCCUAAAAAUCUGAUUACAGCUUUCACAUAUUGAAUUCUAAACUGAUAUAGUAAUUACCUUAACAGGCCUGGUAUAAUCGUAACUGAUGCUUUUCCGACAAACUGUUAAAUGCUUUCCUAAAAGAAGUGCUACAGCUUUUAGGAAAGGAGAACUUACUCAUCAUUGUUCACAGCGUGAGUUUUCUAUUUGUUAUUGUUUUGUUUCCUUCUUCUGAAUGAGGAAGACAGGACAUUUAUCAGCAUCUUCUCUUUCUCUAUGAGUGUUUUAGGAAAAAGGAUGUGUGUCGGUAACCCGUGCUUCCCUGUAAUUAUUCAUUAACCAGAAAUUACACUGAAAUGAGUACAAUAUAUACAGUAUGUUUACUUCAUAUACUGUUUCUUACUGCUUUUUCUUCGAACUUUGGAAUACAUAAAUAAAAAGAGGACAGUUAAUGACUAAUGCUCCCCAGAGCACCAGUUUGCCUCAAGUAGCAUCAAUAAAAAAUAAAAUUAUAAAAUAAGCCUCACCCUUAAGUAAUGCCUGCUUAGACAUGUGAAGUGUGUCUUGUUCGAUAAUGAUGCAUAUUAACUGUAUUGAGUGAGUAUAUUGUCUAUCAAACAAUCACACUUUAUUUAUUAAGUGCUUUUCAAACAAAGAUUUGCAUCCGUCUAAACAAAGAACUUGUCCCUAUGAUUUUCACAUCAACCCUUAAUACCCUGUGUGUGUGUGUGUGUGUGUGUAUACUACUGUCGUCAUAAUACUACAAUUUCAAACUCUAUUUCAAAACUAAGGAAUUCACUCAAUACUCGAUAUCAGUUGCUACACCACAGUGAAGAUAAAAAUACUUUUUGUUUAAUAAUAGAAUGUAAUUUUCUUCAUCUUUCUUUUUUUCAUCUUUAUCAGAGCAUGAGGUCAUAUUCACUCUGAAGCUCAAAAUCAUACUAACACUGAUCAGGAAAGCUCACUUGUUUUUUAUAGUACUGAGACUUUCUCAAAUAAGUUUCUAGAUUGGUUUUCAAUUUUGACACCCCUACUAUGUAUACACACACACACAAACACCCACACCCACACACACACACACACACACACACACACACACACAUUAAAAUUGUGAAUUGAAAUAAUUUACUCCACACAGACUUAUGAGGAAAUUUUUUUGUGUAUAGUUCAUUUUUUUCUGCAAUUCUUGAAUCUCAAUGAUGGCAUUUACGCACAUUUCUGAUGCUUUUUUUUUUUUUUAAGUUCCCAUAUUACACUAUUUUUUGAUCUAUAUUAAAAUGCUGUUUCCUCUUCACAGUUGUGUUUUGUUUCAUUCACACAUGUUUAGCACACAAACGCUGCAUAUUUAGGCUGAGUUCCUCUUUCAAACAACAAGAACACACUCUGGAACAGUGUGUCAUGUGGCAAUACAGGAAGUGCUCCACUGUGUUUUUAAAUUCCAUACACCCUCAACAGAAUCAUUAGGAUGAUUUCAGCCCUGCAGUUGCCAAUCUUUAGUGAACUAAAAGUAGCUUUUCAUUUGAAAACUGCCACUUCGUGACAUCACAACGUGGAACAGAGCAUUUUGAGCUUUGGUUAAAGGGUUACUCAAACAUGUAUGAAUGAAAAAAACCACAACUUCAUGUAUGUUUUUGAUUAGGUAACAGCAUUAUAACAAGACUUUACUAUUUAUAGCACCUUUAAUUAAAAAAUGAAAAAUAAAAAAAUUAUAAAUAAAUAAAUAUAAUAAAUUAUCAAGACAUCACUUUUAUCUAUAUAAGCAUUCCCUAUAGCAUUGACUCAUACUUUUGGGUGACCCUUGGCAGCACCCUCUUCUCAGCUGACAGACUUCAGUUAGAGACACCUGUUGUUCCUGUGGUUUUUAUGCCCACAACAGAAAUCCCCCUCCUCCCCUUCCUCAGCCUCGUCCCACCUGCUGGACCUGUCCUUCUGCCUAUAUGGAGAUGAGACCACCUCCUCCACAUAUAUCUCUCUAUCCUCUUUGUCUUUGGAGCCCACCCGCCCACUUGAAACAGACCCUCUGCGCAGGUGGGCACAUUUCAGUUGCUAAUGCUUACAAACACAGGGGUUUUCAAUGGGACAGCUGCCUGCAAGGAGAGGGCAUGUCUUUAUUAUGAAUGAAACUGGCACAGAUCCUCAAACACUGUGGUGUUAACAAGGAAACUGAUGUCUGUUAAAAGAAAAGAUGCACUCUUUUAGCUUUUGGGACUUUUUUGUACUUGUGCUGAUCAACGCUGUGUGAACUUCUUGUUAACUGUGACUGAAUAAUUACUGCUUACAGAAAGUACUAUGUAUUUAUAGUAAUUGGUAACACACAUAUUAGCCAUUGAUAAUGACAUACUGCUCAGUGGUUAUUAAGCUAUUAGUGCAGUAUUUCUUGUUAGAGUUUAUCAAGAUCAUAAUCUAUGUAAAAAGCAUCUAUUUCUAUUUAUAUUUAUGAACAUUUAAUUAUAGUUAUAAUGUGUCCUUAGACAAGUGUUAAUAACAACUAUUAUAAAUAUAUAAUUAAAUUACAUAUUAUGUCUUAUUAUAAUUUAUUAAUUAAUAUGUGGUCCCUAAACUAAAGUGUUAGAAAAAUUGGCAAUAUAAUUAAUUAAAUGGCUCACAUUGCACUAUUUUGUAUGUUAUAAUGUUGCUUCCUCUUCAGAAAAAUAUCAGGAGUUGUCUUUUGUUUCAUUCACACACAAACUCCGUAUAUUAAGGAGGAGGAGUUCUCUCAAACAGAAAACACUUGUACUAAAACAGGAAGUGCUCCACUGUGUUUUUAAACUCCAUGCACUUUCAUUAUUAUCAUUUGACUCAUUUCAAACCUGGAAUUGGCCAUUUUUACUGAGCUAAAGAUAAACUGUUGCUGUUAACUUGACAACUAUAGCUUCCCAAACAUGUGAAUGAAACAAAACACAACUCCGGGUAUGUUUUUGAUGAGGUAACAACUUUAUAACUUAAACAAGCAUCCAUUCUGUGUACAUUUGAGACUUAUUAAUGCAUGAACAAGAACUUAUUUUAUAAUGAAUGGUUUAUUGUGAAUGAUUCUGGUAAAUCCUCUUUAUUAAGGGGGUUAGGAUAUAAAUUAAGUAGUUACUAAGCCAUUGUUAAUAAACUAUUUCUUUAUCAGGAGUUUCUUUAUAAAGGUUAAUUAAGAUCUACUUAUUAUAUAGUGUUACCAUAUCUAUUCUAGUAACUCUAAAUUCUUGUGUAGUCCAACUUACCUCCCUGCUGCAAACCAUAAAAAAUGGAAUAAAACUAUACAUAGCAACAGAAAACAAUCACUUUUAGUCGGUGUUUUCUCUGUGUUAAUGAACUCUCCCUCUCCCCUCCUCCUUCUUUUCUCUUCUUUUCCCCGACCUCACAUUUAGGAGCUCUGAACUCAAUGAACCGAAGAUUUAUUUUUCUCCGAAUCUCUUCCGCUUGCCUCCAGUUAAGACUCCUUCCAUCGCACAUGUUCGGACCACUUUACUGCCUUAAGGUUCUUGGAUAUUGAUAUGUGGGUUUCACGGGACCCCCUGGAGGCUGUUAGCACUUCCUAAAUUUUCCAGAACUUCUGCAUUCCACAUGUCCGGAGUGGUUUUGUACCGUAGCUAUUAGCCGUGAAGAAUUUUGAUAUGCCCUUUAAACGUGGCAUCUGCUUUUUCACCUUUGCUGACCCACUGUUUUAUGUGCACUUUAUUGUUUAAUCCUUAACUUUGAUUUUCUUCCUUAGUUCCUGUUUAUAUAUAUAUAUUUUCAUAAUCAUUUUCUCUUUUGUAUAAUUGGCCCUUAAUACUGUACUAAUCCUGUUUAUUUUGUACACAGGUUGCAACUGAAGCUGCUUAAUCCUAUAUAUCAACAAUGAUUACCAGAAGUGAAACGAUGCGGCUCCACAGGAGUGCCUCAGUGACCAUGAAAGAAAGAAAAAGAAAGUGGUGAUUUGAAGUUGUUACCUCUAUUAAACCAUGGUCAUCUCCACCAGACCCACAGACGAUGGACUGAUGUGAGGCAGAGGUAAUAGCUCGAGAAGGUGAUUAAUGGAUGGAUUUUUCCACUGUGCGUCUAUGGGCAUGGACAUGUUCUGGCUCCUACACAGGACAACAUGAACUCUGCAGACUCCAGCCAAUCGUUUUUCCUCUCAAAAGCAACAACAGACAAUGAGGAGAGUUUCUUUUAUUGUUUUGUUUUUUGUUUUCUUCUUACAUCAACAGAAAAUUAAGCAGUUUGAGUUUUUUUGUUUUUUUUUUAAUUCAGAGCAGAUAUCUAUAAAUCGCCCUGAUGGACACAAAGAUGAAUUUCACACACUGAUCACUGAGUACACAGUGUGCUAAAUGAUACUUUCCCAGUCUUUAACUAACAGAUGAUUGGCACGUUUUGCAAUUUUAAGGUGGUACUGACAUAAAUAUAAAUCUAAAUGCUUUUUGGAGUAUCAAGAUUAUUUCAGAUUAUAUCGAACCAACUGAAAAUGUUAAAAUAUGUCUUUAAAUCUAUAAAUGUGAAAAACAGAAGUAGUUCAUUUUUAACUGUGUGGUACAGAAUUUAUUCCUCACUUUUCUGAUUCAGUCUUAGCAUGCUUAUUAUUCACCACAGUGAGGCCAGAGCGGAGUUUUGCCUUUGCUCUAAUACUAACAACAACUAGCAUGCUAACAGCACACCAGAUGAUAAUCAGAAAAAGCUUUACAAUUAGACAGAGGUCUCAUUAUGACCUUAAAGGUGCACACGUAUCAUUUCCAGUGGAGGGUCGGCCCUUGCUUGUCUCCACUAAAGCAGAUUACAGCACUAUGCUACAUUACAGUUCAGAUCUGUGGAGAUUUGUCUCUAUUCACAGAAGCAAUUAUUGCACAAUAGAUACACUACUGGUCAAAAAUCUUAGAACACCCUGAUUUUUCCAGUUAUUUUUUGCAUUUCAAGUCGUGCAAGUUCAAUGAAGAGCUUGAAAUGGUACAAACGUAGGUACAGAACACUCAGGGGUUAAAAAAAAAAGAUAAAAGAUAACAACACAAGUCAAAGCUCUGCCAAAACUACUUCAGGAAAAAAGAACAAGAUGGUAAGCUUGAAAAUAUGGAGUGGCCAGCACAGUCUCCAGACUUAAGCCCCACUGAGCUGGUUUUGGGAUGAAGUGGACAGAAAAGUAAAAGUCAAGCAACCUACAAGGGCCACACAUUUAUGUGAACUUCUGCAGCAGACUUGGGAAGAACUUUAUGAAUAUUUGAUUUCUAUUGUAAAAAGAAUGAUGGCUACUUUCAUGAAUCAAAAGUUUAGAAUAUAUUUUGGUCAACAGUAAACAGUAAAAAAAUGGAAAAAGUGUGGUGUGGUUCUAAAACCUUUGACCAGUAGUUUGUGUUUAAUGUCAUACCAUGGAACAUUUUAGGCAAAGCAAUAACAUCUCCAGUAGGUAGUGCACCUUUAAGAGCUACUUUUACAAUACGUGUGUACAGGGGCAUUUUACCUUGGAAAAAGAAUGGUGCAUCCCCUUUAUGACAACGUGAGAGGGGUUGUAAAUUUAACUUUGACGUGGGUGCUACUGGAAACUGGCCCGAACACAUCUGUGAGAAUCUGCUACACAUUUCAUUUGAAGUACUUUUACACAUUCACUGAUGCAUUGUCAUUUUGAAAUAUCACCAUGGUGUACUUUGAUGCAGGCCGUUACAAGACAGUCAGAGUUGAUUUCUUUUGGGGUUUCUUCAGUUCAGUCUCAUGCGUGUGAUCUCAGGACAUAGUUGUGAAAGAUGUGUGUCUUACAUUCACAGUUCAUUGAGCCAAAGAAGGGGCAGAUCAUUGGUUAUUGACAGGUUUCACUCUGACUCACUGACUUCUCUCAAGAGGAAGUUUCCCUCUUUACAACUUUUAACUGUCAGUUUCCUUCCUGUGAGGGGCCCAGGUUUUACAACUCAUUCUCUUUCAUUCUUAAUCACGACAGAUUAUCUUUCAACUGAACAGAAAGAGGUUUGAAUCAUCCGUGUCUGACACCUAAUAUAACUGUUAAGCUUUUUCUUUUUUCUCUUUUCCCUGCCCAAACUUUAUUUAGCAGCAUUUCACAGAGGUGUCGACAUCAGUAAGGCAAUAUAUUUGUAUGAAGUCAACAAGCUUAAUAACAACAGAGGUAAUACAAAAUUUCAGUCAAAGAAGAACAAAAUACAAGCAGAUCUUUUAUUUGCUGGAUGAAAAAUGAGAUCCG